RNAcentral lists this ribosomal RNA (753 nucleotides) under Kosakonia oryzendophytica. Its description in RNAcentral is "bacterial SSU rRNA". It matches the Rfam family "Bacterial small subunit ribosomal RNA", at positions 71 to 820 of the family's 1533-position model. The record is from RNAcentral. Lineage: Bacteria; Pseudomonadati; Pseudomonadota; Gammaproteobacteria; Enterobacterales; Enterobacteriaceae.
ACAGAGAGCUUGCUCUCGGGUGACGAGUGGCGGACGGGUGAGUAAUGUCUGGGAAACUGCCUGAUGGAGGGGGAUAACUACUGGAAACGGUAGCUAAUACCGCAUAACGUCGCAAGACCAAAGAGGGGGACCUUCGGGCCUCUUGCCAUCAGAUGUGCCCAGAUGGGAUUAGCUAGUAGGUGGGGUAACGGCUCACCUAGGCGAGGAUCCCUAGCUGGUCUGAGAGGAUGACCAGCCACACUGGAACUGAGACACGGUCCAGACUCCUACGGGAGGCAGCAGUGGGGAAUAUUGCACAAUGGGCGCAAGCCUGAUGCAGCCAUGCCGCGUGUAUGAAGAAGGCCUUCGGGUUGUAAAGUACUUUCAGCGGGGAGGAAGGUGUUGUGGUUAAUAACCGCAGCAAUUGACGUUACCCGCAGAAGAAGCACCGGCUAACUCCGUGCCAGCAGCCGCGGUAAUACGGAGGGUGCAAGCGUUAAUCGGAAUUACUGGGCGUAAAGCGCACGCAGGCUCUGUCAAGUCGGAUGUGAAAUCCCCGGGCUCAACCUGGGAACUGCAUUCGAAACUGGCAGGCUGGAGUCUCGUAGAGGGAGGUAGAAUUCCAGGUGUAGCGGUGAAAUGCGUAGAGAUCUGGAGGAAUACCGGUGGCGAAGGCGGCCUCCUGGACGAAGACUGACGCUCAGGUGCGAAAGCGUGGGGAGCAAACAGGAUUAGAUACCCGGGUAGUCCACGCUGUAAACGAUGUCGAUUUGG